RNAcentral lists this long non-coding RNA (875 nucleotides) under Homo sapiens (human). RNAcentral's name for it is "non-protein coding LINC00882:7". The record is from RNAcentral. Lineage: Eukaryota; Metazoa; Chordata; Mammalia; Primates; Hominidae.
UGGCCUCCGCGGCCCGUGCGAGUGCGCCCUUCUCGGGUCCCCUAGGUCGCGGGGCAGCCGGGGCGGAAGGGGCUUGUUCAUUAUUUUGAGAGUUUGUUGUGAACGUCAUAACCUUUCGUCCUUAAAUAUUGCCGAUACUUGACCUACGCAAGAGACAAUGUCAUGUGAUUCAGCCUAAUAUCUCAGAGGAUGCAGCAUUCAAGGUUCUAUCUUGGAAGCAGAGACUGUGCCCUCACCAGAUGCUGAACCUGCUGAGCACCCUGAUCUUCCACUUCACCUUCAUCAGAACUACUGGGGCUGUGGCUGAGAUGUCACAUGGCAGAUAGGAUCACAAAUUUCUGUUGUAUCUGGAUGGAGAUCAGCAGGAGGAUCUAUGGGUGAGAAGAAGCACAGUUACAGAUGGAUUCUAGAGCCUGCUUGCUGACACAGGCUUGCAACUGCGGACUUUAUAAGCUUAGUUUUUAAUCUGCUAUCAGCUAGCAUAAUACCAUAAAUGCAUAAGAAACUAAGUAUUCAGUCUUACGAGAAAUGCUAUCUUGACCUGACCCUUUCUCCAAAUAAAUUGACAAAAUAUCUCAUCGUCUAGGAUGCCAGACAGAAAUACCAGUUGCAAUGUUUUGUUGCAUAAAGUUUAUCCUAAUUUAAAUUAGUGGCAUAUAAAGUCAUCAUCUUGCUUGAACAAACAUCUUAUUAAAUUGAGCAUGUCUUUUAUCCCAUGAAAUGAAAUUAAUUUUGAGAUAGUUAUUUUUCAGUUGGAAAUUUAUUGAGUUGAUAGAAAACAAGUUAUAUAGUCUUCCAAAGAAUAUGUUACAUCCAUUUGCAUUUUGUUUUUCUUCAGCAAUGUUUGGUUUUUAGAAAAUCUUACAAGUUAAAUA